GUGCUCUUGUGGCCCAUGAAAUCAAGCUUGGGUGAGACCUGGUGCAGAACAGGAAGGCGACCCAUACUUGGUUUCAGUGGCUGCAAGAAUGACGUCAU
This 98-nucleotide microRNA precursor is filed under the name Cricetulus griseus (Chinese hamster). RNAcentral's name for it is "miRNA (ENSCGRG00000021612.1, ENSCGRG00001004303.1)". The stretch from base 10 to 83 matches the Rfam family "mir-551 microRNA precursor family". Lineage: Eukaryota; Metazoa; Chordata; Mammalia; Rodentia; Cricetidae. The record is from RNAcentral.